UCUGGUUCUGUUGAUUGCUCUCCCAAAGGUGGUUGGUUUCUUUGUUUCUUCAGGGUCAAUUUGGCUGCCUGGGUUCCAGGAAUAUUCCUGACUCAGUCUUCCAUGUAAUUGGAUCAUGGACAUGUGCUGCCACCUUCUCCCUUGAUCAUCAGUGUGAAUGUGGGCCAGAUGUUACAUCACAAGCCUCUUAUCCAACCCUGGUACCAAGGAAGAACAGGUGAAAAGAUUGUAAGAAAGGGGAUGGAAGACACCAGGAGAACAAGGCCUUCUUAAUUAGCUGAGCAAGGCACACAUGAGCUCAGGGAGAUGGAAGCAGCAAGCACAGGCCCUACACCAGUCUGAACCAGAUUCCGUUGCGGGUUAAAGGACCACGGACAGAUGGGAAACGCAGACUCUACUUUGGGCUCAGGUCUCUAUGAACAACUGGAGGAACUCUGGACACUUGUCAAUGUGUAUCUUUGCAAGAAACAUAAGGAGGAGAACCUUGGGAGACUACAAUCAAGAAUUGUACAUUGUCUGAAAAGGUGUUAUAGGAAAAAAAUUCAAGUAGGCAUUUGGAAGUUUCUUCAACUAUUCCAACUUAAAGAAAGCAUCUAAUAAUAAUUCACAUUACGAAAUAUGAUUAAAAUGGGAUUUCAGUGAAUUUCCACAAAAUCCUUUAUCUUGUUUCGAAGGUAUUUAUGAACCCAUUUCUUCAUUGAAACAUUGCAAAUUAUCAGCAAUAGGAAGGAUUUGUCCUUAUUAGGUUAGGAAUAGGAGUAGAGGUAAAUUAACAGAAAUCCUAGUAUAUGGUGUGGAGAACAACCAUGUGUGUAGAAGAUGCAUAUUCAUAGAAUAGCUUACAUAAGAAACAUAAAAUGUUACUGUUCUUUGCUUUGGAAGUCAGUAAUUGUUUGACUGUGUCCCCUAAAAUUGCUGAGCCUUAAUGGUCACUAUAUUAGCACACAUGGUCUUUAUGAGGGCUGAGCAAUUAGAGCCAGCCAGGUCAGUCGACUGAAGCCCUUCUAACAGAUGCUUCAUGGAUAUUUGGGUUUCUGUCUGGGCCUUCUGUCUUUCACUUCCUAUUCCCUCUCCCCAACCUCUUUUACAGAGUUUAUGAUACACACUACAUUAGAACAUGUCUAAGAUUUAUAUAUUCUAUACACAGUGGUUAAAAUAGAGGUGGGGCUUUUCCAGGAAUAAUUCAAUAAUGAGAAAAGCCCAUGCUGUGUCCCGUUAUAGAACAGAAAAUGUCCUGCUGGUAUCAUUGUCAGAGAUGAAUGGAAAAAUGCCAUGUCCCAGUGUGGCAUUUCUUUGGGUUUAGUAGGCAGGCAAGGAAUUGUGACCAGUGCACAGUUUGGUGUUCGUUUGAGGGAGAAUGCCAUGUCCCAGUGUGGCAUUUCUUUGGGUUUAGUAGGCAGGCAAGGGAUUGUGACCAGUGCACAGUUUGGUGUUUGUUUGAGCUCCUUUUCAGUUUCUUCCCACAUGGUUUUCCCUGCAAGGAGAACCCUCUUGCAUUCAGUGCAUGCCCUUCACACCCUUUCAUGCCAGCUCCCUCACGUACUCCCUUUCUAUGUUUUCAUCACAUCAAGGAUCCUGAACUAACCCAGAAUCACAAUCACCUUUGACUUUGGUUGUGUAUUCCAUUUACAAUGUUGCAGAAGAGGGCAAUUAUACCACAUUCAUUUUUAACACAUUUCACAUUACUUAGCAGCUGUAAUCAGCCCAAAUUAUUGAGUUCAUUUUGCUAGUAAUGCCUAACAACAGGAUUUAAAUUUCUUGAGCUUGGCAUUAUUUGGUUGCUCUUUGCUUUACCAGUUUUGACUCUAUGAUUGGAAGUGUUAAUAAUAUAUAAAAUAAUAUAAAUGUAUAAAAAUUA
Molecule: long non-coding RNA, 1858 nt
Organism: Mesocricetus auratus (golden hamster)
Lineage: Eukaryota; Metazoa; Chordata; Mammalia; Rodentia; Cricetidae
Exons: 4
Source: RefSeq, a predicted model, not a curated record